AGAGUUUGAUCCUGGCUCAGAACGAACGCUGGCGGUAUGCUUAAUACAUGCAAGUCGAACGAAAAAGCUCUUCGGAGUGAGUAGAGUGGCGCACGGGUGAGUAACACGUAGGUGACCUACCUUUUGGAGGAGGAUAAUUCCUAGAAAUGGGUUGUAAUACUCCGUAAUAAGUACAAAGCUGAAAGUAGUAUUUUAAAGGAUUUUCCUUCGGGGGAAUUCGCCAAGAGAUGGGCCUGCGGGACAUUAGCUUGUUGGUGGGGUAAUGGCCUACCAAGGCUGCGAUGUCUAACCGGUCUGAGAGGACGAUCGGUCACACUGGGACUGAGACACGGCCCAGACUCCUACGGGAGGCAGCAGUAGGGAAUAUUGCGCAAUGGGCGAAAGCCUGACGCAGCAAUACCGCAUGAGUGAGGAAGGUUUUCGGAUUGUAAAGCUCUGUCAGAGUGGAAAAACGGCGUAUGUUCGUAAGGGCAUGCGUGUGAUGGUACACUCAAAGGAAGCACCGGCUAACUUCGUGCCAGCAGCCGCGGUAAUACGAAGGGUGCAAGCGUUGUUCGGAUUUAUUGGGCGUAAAGCGCGCGCAGGCGGAUUUAUAAGUCAGGUGUGAAAUCUCGGGGCUCAACCCCGAAACUGCGCCUGAAACUGUGAAUCUAGAAUCCUAGAGAGGGGAAGGAGAAUUUCCGCA
Molecule: ribosomal RNA, 685 nt
Filed under: uncultured delta proteobacterium
Lineage: Bacteria; Deltaproteobacteria
Description: bacterial SSU rRNA
Rfam family: Bacterial small subunit ribosomal RNA
Source: RNAcentral